AGUUUGGAGAGAUCUUUUUCAGCUCCUCACAAUCUGCAGGGUUCCCGCUGGGAUGGCACCAAUCCCCUUGAAAAUAUGUGAUCAGACCGAUAUAGCGUGGGGUCAUUUCAACAUUCUCCCAGCUACAUGGGAGCUACUCACGGUUGAGUGGCUCCCAUGAGUCUGAGAGAACAUCUAAUGGGCACAUUGACUGUUUUCCAUUCAAUCCACUUGAAAAAGCAAAAUACUGAACUGGCUUGGAAGGGUAAUUCCAGUAUGUGAUAAGAUCUUUGAGACGGAUAGCAAAUAAGUGGGGAUUUACAUGACAAUGACAACGAUAAAAUUGACAGCAUUCAGAAAGGGAAGUGUCACCAUACAGAAAACUGUGAAAGUACCAUUAAUUAUCCCUUGAGAUGCCUGCUAUUCAUGUUUUCUCUCCCUUUGCUUUUCACAAGGUAAUAAAGUUUGGCUCAUCUAGAAUAUUUCUGUUUGAUUUCUAGUCUGCAGUACUGUUUAAGUUUGGCAGUCCCAAUUAGCAUGAACAAGUUUAUUAAACUCAAUGGCAGGCAGGGCUCAGAAUCCACAGGUAUACUGUUUCUGGGUACGCAGAUUUCUGGGUCCGCAGGUAUACUGUUAGUCCAUCCAGGGAAUUAGAGGUAUAGGGCUUUUUUAAAAGGUGCAACUAGACACAAAACGGCAGUUUGCUCUCCCAUCCCCACAAAGAGCAGUUCCAAAGGAACAUUUGUGCAGAUUCACAUCUUGCAAGUUCCAUUAUAAAGAUGUCAAAAGUAACUGAUAAAAAUGAGAAAAGUAAAAGUAUAAUCCAGCCAUUUCUAGAAUCCAGACCCAGACCAAGUGUACUCAUUUUUGCCAUGAAUAUAUAGUGAAUAAUAAAGUGCAAUAGUUCCCAGUGAAAUUCCUAGUUCUGAGGAUUUUCUCCCACUCGAAGUAGGCUUCUAAAUGUCAUAUAAUGUGACUCUAGGCAACAAAGUAUGUGUGCAUAGACAAGGGAAAUGCACAGGUUUGUGUUGUAAUGGUGCACUCUAUGUGCACAAAUUAUACUCAAAUGCCAUUGUGAAGUUUUGAAUUUUCCUUUUAAAAAGCUAGCAGAGGUAAGUAACAAGAUCCAGAGCAUGACAUGGAGAAAUAAUCUGAGAAAGUUCUCUGUGGAUUUCAGAUUCUCCUUGGAAGAACCCAGAAAUUCUCUUUCAAAUUUCACUUUGGAGAAAUUUCAGUUCCAACCCCAGAUGAUGACAGCCAUCAAAGGGGCCAGAAGAAGAAAAAUGUCUACAGCCUUUGAGAAACCAGAUGGGACAGAACAAAAAACUGCUACUGCAAAAAUGACUUAAACUAAUAAUGGAGGAAUAAUUCCAGCUGUUGCUCGGAGUACACUGUUUGCAACAACCAUCAUGCCCCCUUGAGUCUACAGUGUCAAGUACCAAAAGAUUGAUUCUGAAUCUAUUAAUUUCCAAUGUCAGCAUUCCUCAAAACUGUGGUGGAUAUGAUUCAGGAGAGGAAGACACUAUUGAACAAUUGAAGUGCUAUUAUUAAAAAUGUUUAAGAGAAUAUCCUCACUUUUGUGGGGAUGUAAAAGGCUGGUUCUGCAGUAAUGCAAACCCAUAUUUUUUAUUAUUAUUUAUUUAUUUAUUUGCACAGUCAGACAGGUGUUAUUGACUGGUUUGUUUUAUCCAGACAUCAAGUCCUUCCCAAGGACCUGGGAUGGCUGAAUUUUAUUGUCAAUGUUGUUGCUGUUGUUAUAGAUAUCUUCGCAGAAUAUAGGCCGUUCCCAGUAAAGUUGCUUUUUGUAAUUGGCUGAUGGUGAUUUCUGUGGCCCCUAUGGUGUUGAGGUUCUCUUCAAGGUCUUUUGGAACUGCACCCAGGGCGCCAAUUACCACUGGGAUUAUUUUGGUCUUUUUCUGCCACAGCCUUUCAAUUUCAAUUUGUAGAUCUUUGUAUUUGGUGAUUUUUUCUAUUUCUUUUUCUUCUAUUCUGCUAUCCCUUGAUAUUGCUAUGUUGAUUAUUUUAACUUGUUUUUCUUUCUUCUCGACUACAGUUAUAUCUGGCGUAUAUUAUUAUUAUUAUUAUUAUUAUUAUUAUUAUUAUUAUUAUUAAUUAUGUAACAGAUUUAUAUGCAGCUCUCCUCUUGGAUCUCCAGUCUGAAUGAACUGACCACAUUUUAUGUCAAACAAAAUUACUUUACGCUACAUCUUCAAUGGCGUGUGGAGCUUGGGAAAAGCAGUAGUGGAAUCUGAUGGGAUAUUAGGAUACCUGUGUGACAAGGUUCUGCAGGCCAUGACAUGCUGAAUGUAGUAUUUUUUGUUUGUAUGUAUGUCUAAUCAAUGGUCGCAAUAAAGCUAUUCAUUCAUUCA
Long non-coding RNA from Hemicordylus capensis (graceful crag lizard), 2348 nucleotides. RefSeq lists it as uncharacterized. NCBI's taxonomy places the organism in Eukaryota, Metazoa, Chordata, Lepidosauria, Squamata, Cordylidae. The transcript has 2 exons. The record is from RefSeq and is a predicted model, not a curated record.